UACGUAGGGGGCAAGCGUUGUCCGGAUUUAUUGGGCGUAAAGAGCGUGUAGGCGGCCAUGUAGGUCCGUUGUGAAAACUCGAGGCUCAACCUCGAGACGCCGAUGGAAACCAUGUGGCUAGAGUCCGGAAGAGGAGAGUGGAAUUCCUGGUGUAGCGGUGAAAUGCGCAGAUAUCAGGAGGAACACCGGUGGCGAAGGCGGGACUCUGGGCCGAUACUGACGCUGAGGAGCGAAAGCGUGGGGAGCAAACAGG
RNAcentral lists this ribosomal RNA (253 nucleotides) under uncultured bacterium. Its description in RNAcentral is "partial 16S ribosomal RNA". It matches the Rfam family "Bacterial small subunit ribosomal RNA", at positions 524 to 776 of the family's 1533-position model. The record is from RNAcentral.